CACACCUGUUCCCAUGCCGAACACAGAAGUUAAGCUCCUUAGCGUCGAUGGUAGUCGAACUUACGUUCCGCUAGAGUAGAACGUUGCCAGGCA
Molecule: ribosomal RNA, 93 nt
Filed under: Staphylococcus aureus
Lineage: Bacteria; Bacillati; Bacillota; Bacilli; Caryophanales; Staphylococcaceae
Also listed under: 25 other names
Source: RNAcentral